Molecule: long non-coding RNA, 1819 nt
Filed under: Malus domestica (apple)
Lineage: Eukaryota; Viridiplantae; Streptophyta; Magnoliopsida; Rosales; Rosaceae
Description: long non-coding RNA (MDOM_LNC007688)
Source: RNAcentral
AUGAAGGAAAUUGAAAGCCAGAGUCUUCUUCAAUUCUUCGAUCAGAGCUCUCAAUGAAAUCACCAAUUUGUGGAUGCAAAUUUCCGUCUUUCCUUGAUUGAUGAAUCUGCACCUGCAAAAUAAUAACACCUAAGAUUAAGGUCAAAAGCCUCACACGCCCACGGUGAAUGGGGGGCUUUGGUCGAAGAAUCUCUGAUGCCAAAGUUAUAAUUCUGUAAGGAAUGUGUUUGAGUGUUUGUGGGAAGCAAAGAGCCUCUUUAAGGGUAGCCAAAGCUUACCGAAUUUAAGGAGUGGCCGGCCCUAGGUGGUAUUCUGGGUGGAAUAUUCUAAGAUAUUUGUGUAAAUAAAUAUCUUAGAAUAAAUAGGUAAAUAUCCUAAAUAAAUAGGAUUAUGAUUACUUGAAAGAGGUCUUUUCUGAUUGGGAAUGUAUUUAUGAUAAGAAUAAAGGAUUAUUCUAUCAUAAAUACCUUUGACUUUCCUAUGGGUAGGGGUGUUAUGAGCAAUGGUUGAUCUCUGCCUGCUCUACGUCAGUUGCAUGUGGUGAAUGAGGCUGCUCCUUGCUCGUUUAACAGGGGCAGUCUUGUCUUUUUUUGGAAAUAAUCUACGUGUCAGCUCGUUGAUUUUUGGGAUUUUUUUUGGCUCCACAUAACAAGUUUCGGGUGAACAUAAAAACUAAUUGGGUCAUUAUUGGGUCACACGAUAAGAACUUAUUAAUAACGGGUCCUUAAUAGGUUUACACGAGGGUGACACGCAAGUAACCUGUUUCAACACGAUAAGAACAAAGUUAUUUUGAUGAUUUUAAUUUUUUAAACUACUAAAAAAAACUUACUAUAAAAUACAAUGGUCAUAGUGUAUAUGUAUAUAUUGUCAAUAAAUAUGUAGUAUUAUAUUAUUAUUCUAUAUAAAUUUAAAGAAAAUUUAAGUUUUAUUUAUUUGUAUAGUAUACUAUAGGUAAUGGGUGAGAUUAAAAAAAUUAUAAAACAAAUUAAAAUAAAAAGAUCAAGUAAUUUAAAAAUACCAGACACAUUAAAAAAAGUUAUACUAAUUAUUUACAAGCGUGAAAAAUAUGAAAAAAAAUAUGCAAACGCUCGUGAUCGCAUCAUCUACAUUUUGAGGAUGGGUACAUCGUCGUUUAAAUUUUUAAAACCAUACAUACCCUCAUGAUAGUAUUUUUGAGGGAGUUCAAAAUAAAUAAAAUUGAUAAUCAUUAAUGUACAAGUAUGAAAAAUGUGAAAACAUAUAUAAACGCUUAUGAUUGCAUCCUCUACGCUUAGACGAUGGUUACAUGGUCGUUUAGAUUUUUAAAAUCCUCCAAAUGUCAUGAACGAUAUUUUUUAUUUGAGUGCAAAAUUAAUAAUAAUUGUUAUAAGAGUUUGAAAAAUGUAAAAAAAAAAAAUACAAUUAAACAUAACGACAAACUUUACAAUUUUUACGAAUGGGUCAACUCCGAAAUCCAACACCAUAAUCCGUAAACCUUAGAUUUAAAUUUAAACUCGAUUGUCAUUUACGCUUUAUUCUACUCAUUGAAUUUCAUUUUUUAGCUUUUCAUUAUUUAUUGAUUUAAAAUAUAUUUUCUUUAACGGGUAACGGAUCGGGUCAUAUUACUUGAUAAUAUUAACGAGUCGAUUUCAAGUUGGGUAAUAUUACCUGUUUACUUUAACGGGUAUUACACGACACGACCCGCUAAGAUAUUGGUUACGUCAUGAAAACGACAUGAACACAAAAAAUACGACACGAAUGCCAGGUCUAUAUAAAACUAUAAUUUUAUUAUUAUUUAAACAUUUUUAAUCCAUAUAUUAAUAUUCAAUUAGACUAGUAG